Molecule: ribosomal RNA, 1375 nt
Filed under: Bothriomyrmex sp. 1 RL-2020
Lineage: Eukaryota; Metazoa; Arthropoda; Insecta; Hymenoptera; Formicidae
Description: partial 28S ribosomal RNA
Rfam family: Eukaryotic large subunit ribosomal RNA
Source: RNAcentral
UUGAAAAGAACUUUGAAGAGAGAGUUCAAGAGUACGUGAAACCGUUCAGGGGUAAACCUAAGAAACCCAAAAGAUCGAACGGGGAGAUUCAUCGUCAGCGGCGCUGGCUUCGCGUCGGUGGGCGAUGUUCCGCGGAGCCCUUGCGGAUCCUACCGCGGACACGCUACCGUGCGUCGAUGUCCGGCGCUCGUCGUCGUGCACUUCUCCCCUAGUAGGACGUCGCGACCCGCUGGGUGUCGGUCUACGGCCCGGGUGCGGUGCCUGUCGCGUCGCCGGUAAAACGGCACGCGGCAAACCCUCGGUCGCCCGGCCGGCUGCCCGGCGGUACACGCAUGGUAUCAGGCCGCACUCUUCUCACGUGUGCGUCGGGACCGUCGCAAGCGCGCGCCACGGUACUCGGAGGUUACGGACCUAGCGCCGUCCCCGGUCCUGGCCCGCUGUUGGUCGUACGGAACUCCUUCGACAGGCCUGCGAAUGAUAUAUACCGGUCGGCGACGCUACUGCUUUGGGUACUCUUAGGACCCGUCUUGAAACACGGACCAAGGAGUCUAACAUGUACGCGAGUCAUUGGGACUAGCGAGACCUAAAGGCGCAAUGAAAGUGAAGGUCGGCCCUGGUUGUCGACAGAGGGAGGAUGGGCCGCGUCGCGAUGCGGCUCCGCACUCCCGGGGCGUCUCGUUCUCAUCGCGAGAAGAGGCGCACCCAGAGCGUACACGUUGGGACCCGAAAGAUGGUGAACUAUGCCUGGUCAGGACGAAGUCAGGGGAAACCCUGAUGGAGGUCCGUAGCGAUUCUGACGUGCAAAUCGAUCGUCGGAACUGGGUAUAGGGGCGAAAGACUAAUCGAACCAUCUAGUAGCUGGUUCCCUCCGAAGUUUCCCUCAGGAUAGCUGGCACUCGGCCGUUCCGCCAGGAACGCGCGCGAGUCUCAUCUGGUAAAGCGAAUGAUUAGAGGCCUUGGGGCCGAAACGACCUCAACCUAUUCUCAAACUUUAAAUGGGUGAGAUCUCUGGCUUUCUUGAAUUAUGAAGCCACGAGCAUCUCGGAUCAGAGUGCCAAGUGGGCCAUUUUUGGUAAGCAGAACUGGCGCUGUGGGAUGAACCAAACGCAGAGUUAAGGCGCCCAACUCGACGCUCAUGGGACACCAUGAAAGGCGUUGGUUGCUUAAGACAGCAGGACGGUGGCCAUGGAAGUCGGAAUCCGCUAAGGAGUGUGUAACAACUCACCUGCCGAAGCAACUAGCCCUGAAAAUGGAUGGCGCUGAAGCGUCGAGCCUAUACUCUGCCGUCAGCGGCAAGUGGGGCGGCCGCGCGCAAGCGCGCCGUCACGAAGCCCUGACGAGUAGGAGGGUCGCGGCGGUGUGCGCAGAAGGGUCU